GGUAAGGUAAGGGAGUUACUCGGUUGCAAACCAUACAUUGUUACACCCGGGUUGUUCAGCCCUACCAGGACGGUUCUGGGACAGUCGCAGCGACCGAAGCUGGUAAACAUUUUACACGUAGACAGCUUUGGAGCUCACUCGGUGUAUUUUGUAGCUGCUGUAGUUCCCUCCUCUCCCGAAACACGAUCCCUGGGUAGGCGGGCGGGGGCAGCGGCCGCCAGCAGCCGGCACGGCACCCCCGCGCUCGAAACCCGCCGGGAUUCCCCAUCCUGCCGCUGGUCUGAGCGCGCCCACCGUGGAAACCGGAGGGAACGGCGCCCAGCAGCCGCGGCGGGGCAGGCACAAGUACGGCGCUGCGAGGCGGGGAGCGGAGCGCGGGGCUCUCCCUUCCAGAGCCGGGCGGGCCCCGCUCCGCGCCCGGGGAGCCGAGCUGAAGCCCCGCAUGGCGCGGCUCCACAUGGCGCAGCCCCGCUCGGCGGCAAGGUGAGUCUCCGGCAGCACCACCUGGGCAGGGGACGAGGGGCACGGGACGCCGAGCAGACCCUCCCGCGGGCUCCGGGCGAGGCCGCCGGGCAGCGGCGGCAUAGAUGGAGCGCGGGGGCGGCGGGCGGGAGCCGGGCGGGGCGCGGGCGGCGGCUCCCCCUGGCCGGGCGGCGCUUGGUUUCUUCUGCCAGCGGAGGCAGGGCCAGGCGCGGCGAGGGUGGGCGCGGAGUUGGCGGCAGGGCUGGGGGCAGUCGGCGGCGAACUGCGGCGGAGUUUGUUCUGUACGAGGGGCGGGAGGUCUCUCUGCGGGAAGCGGAGCGGAGCCGGCCCCCGAGGGGAAACGCCUGCCCCCGAAGAAAGGGCUGCCCGGAGCCGGCCCCCGCCUCGCCGCGCCGCCCGCAGCCGGAGGCGCCCGGAGGGAAAAGUUGCGC
RNAcentral lists this long non-coding RNA (914 nucleotides) under Chloebia gouldiae (Gouldian finch). RNAcentral's name for it is "Erythrura gouldiae (Gouldian finch) lncRNA (ENSEGOG00005001774.1)". Lineage: Eukaryota; Metazoa; Chordata; Aves; Passeriformes; Passeridae. The record is from RNAcentral.